AUUGAACGCUGGCGGCAGGCCUAACACAUGCAAGUCGAGCGGAUGAAGGGAGCUUGCUCCUGGAUUCUGCGGCGGACGGGUGAGUAAUGCCUAGGAAUCUGCCUGGUAGUGGGGGAUAACGUCCGGAAACGGGCGCUAAUACCGCAUACGUCCUGAGGGAGAAAGUGGGGGAUCUUCGGACCUCACGCUAUCAGAUGAGCCUAGGUCGGAUUAGCUAGUUGGUGGGGUAAAGGCCUACCAAGGCGACGAUCCGUAACUGGUCUGAGAGGAUGAUCAGUCACACUUGAACUGAGACACGGUCCAGACUCCUACGGGAGGCAGCAGUGGGGAAUAUUGGACAAUGGGCGAAAGCCUGAUCCAGCCAUGCCGCGUGUGUGAAGAAGGUCUUCGGAUUGUAAAGCACUUUAAGUUGGGAGGAAGGGCAGUAAGUUAAUACCUUGCUGUUUUGACGUUACCAACAGAAUAAGCACCGGCUAACUUCGUG
RNAcentral lists this ribosomal RNA (484 nucleotides) under uncultured bacterium. RNAcentral's name for it is "partial 16S ribosomal RNA". It matches the Rfam family "Bacterial small subunit ribosomal RNA", at positions 30 to 507 of the family's 1533-position model. The record is from RNAcentral.